GAUUAACGCUGGCGGCGUGCAUAACACAUGCAAGUCGAACGAUGAAACUUAAAUGAUUUCUUCGGAAUGAACUUAAGUGGAUUAGUGGCGGACGGGUGAGUAACGCGUGAGUAACCUGCCUUACACAAGGGGAUAGCCGUUGGAAACGACGAAUAAUACCCUAUGAAACUAUCACUUCGCAUGAAGCGAUAGUCAAAGUGUUAGCGGUGUAAGAUGGACUUGCGUCUGAUUAGCUAGUUGGUGAGAAAAAGCCCACCAAGGCAACGAUCAGUAGCCGGCUUGAGAGAGUGUACGGCCACAUUGGGACUGAGACACGGCCCAGACUCCUACGGGAGGCAGCAGUGGGGAAUUUUGCACAAUGGGGGAAACCCUGAUGCAGCGACGCCGCGUGAUUUAGAAGGCCUUCGGGUUGUAAAAAUCUUUUGUAUAGGAAGAAAAUGACAGUACUAUACGAAUAAGGGCCGGCUAAUUACGUG
Molecule: ribosomal RNA, 476 nt
Filed under: uncultured bacterium
Lineage: Bacteria
Description: partial 16S ribosomal RNA
Rfam family: Bacterial small subunit ribosomal RNA
Source: RNAcentral